Myotis myotis is the source of this 3248-nucleotide long non-coding RNA. RefSeq lists it as uncharacterized. NCBI's taxonomy places the organism in Eukaryota, Metazoa, Chordata, Mammalia, Chiroptera, Vespertilionidae. The record is from RefSeq and is a predicted model, not a curated record. The transcript is spliced from 3 exons.
AGCCUGGGGAGGGAGGACGCACAGCGGAGGUUUGCGUUCCUGCAGGCAGGCUCCAGGGUGCUCUGCAUCAGAGCCCGGGCACCGUCCGCUGCCCUCUGCCCGGAGAGCACCAUGCAUCCAGCUACCCCAGGCCCCAAGGGAGGGUCUGGGAAAUAGGCAGCACUCUGUCCUGUGUCCUGACGGGGACCUGGGGACAGACUCUUCUCUGACCUGCGGACCACAGGGACGGAGCAGAGCCACCUGCUCAGGAACCCACCUUGGGCCUGCUGCCUGCCUGGCACACCUGCCUGCCGGCUCCUGGCUCUAGCAAAGAUGUGCCCACACUCACAGAGAAGACUCGCUCAGCACAGCUCCCGGUGGCAGCCCUGACUCGCCGACGCUCAGAGCUGGGCAGCACCAGCAGCCAAAAAUAAUGCAGACGCCGCUGACGGCGAGAGCUGGCGGGCCAGUGGAGACAUUCAACCGGAUGCACGUGACAUGACCCCCUGCCCUGUUCACGGUAUGUUCCUAUUUCUAGGUAAGUACAGAUAAAGCGUGCCACCCCUUCCCUACCCUGCCAGCUCCUGCCAGCUCCCUCCUCCAUCGGGCACCACCCAGUCUACUAGGGUCUGUUCUAAGCCAGUGCAGAUUCCAUAUCCCCUGACACAGGCCAGUGUCUCAGCAGGACAGUCCCCAAUGCUCCCACCCUGGGCUGGUGGCAGGUGCUGGCACCCCCAGAGGUGGGCGGCAGGUGGGCAAUUAUGUGUGCUCAGCCCGUCACCCCCAACACCCUCAGAAGAGCACCUGUGAAGCCCGUGACGACCCAGGGCCCUGGCUUUCGCUCGAUGAGUCCUCCACAGGUCACCAUGGAGAAACCCUCUCGACGCCCCCGGGUGGGCACUGAGAGAAGUCCGAACUAGUCCCGAACUCUCUCUGGCUUUUUGCAUGUUUAGUUAGUUCCGUGAGGAUGACAGUGGCGCUGCUAGUGGUGUGUAGGGUCUGGCUCCUCGGCUGCCCCCCUCCCUGGAGGUCUCGUGGCAAUGAACCUUACCAUGGCGAUGAACCUGCCGAUGAAGCGGAAGUAGGUGAGGUGGUCGGGGUUGAUGGAGGAGGCGGGGUUGAUCUGCAGGCAGUAAUUGUUCUUCCCGGCGUAUUCGAAUAAGCAAUACAUGGGGUUGAGCACCUCAUGGGACAGGAGGAAAAACCACUCUCUGUGAGAGAGAGAGAGAGAGAAACAGGACUAGCGGAUCCUCCCCUGCACGCGGGCUGGAGGCACACCGCUCCUCUGCCGUCCUCCUCAGCUGCUCUGGAGACACGGGUCCUGGGCAGGCGAGCCAGCAGCUGGCUAACCUGAAGUAACAGCAGGUCAGUGGACAGGGUGGGGUCAGACCCAGGGUGAGCGAGGACGACAGCCACGCUUGAGGGUGACGCUCAGGAAAACGUGAGUGUGUCGGCUCCGGGUGGGCAUCCAGGACUUUACAUCUUAAUGGCAAAGGGCCCCUGGCACCCUGGGGGCACCAUGCACAGCUGUGCAGGCUGUGCCCUACACAAGAGUACUAUGGCAAAAUAUCAUAGACUUGCACAUUUAUUGCAACAACUUUCCUGCAGCCAAGCUGUUUCUUUCUGUAAAAGCCAGAAUAUCGCCACCAUUUUCCAACAUGGAAGUGUCUUGAAAUAAGGCAUCUUUUUCUAAAUCUUGCAGCGAUGCUGUAUGAAUAGCAGCCACCCCGCUUCCACCCAACCUGAGCAGGUGGCGUAACAUGAGCACAUGAUAAUGCAUUCCCACCUCCUGAUGCAUGAACUGUGAUCCAUGCUGCCUGCAGACUAUAAACCUCACUCCCACUGCAGGUCUCUUGCUUUCCUUGCACUCUGCCCGCUCCUCCCCCAGGCCCCAUUACCAGACUUUGCUUGUCCUUCUGCAUGUUCAUCUGAACCAACACCCAGGCCUUAGCAUCUCUUUGCACUCUAGGUACAAGCCUCAAACCAGAAUUCAGAGUCCUUCUGGGCUUCAGCUAAACCCACAGGGGGACAACCCAACGAGGCCAGUCCCUGGCUGCUGGGCUGUUUGUGGCCAGGCAGACGAGGAGUCCUUCGAUGCAGAGGGUGCCCCGGUAUCCUGUCCGUGGUUCUACCCUGUGGUAGAACAGCAUGACGUAACCUACCAUAGGGUAAAACCACUGGCAGGACACAGAGAGACGGACACACACAGGGCGGGAGCCACACCAGAAGCCCACCAAGCAGAGCCUGGAGAGGAGGUCACCACGGUCACCACGGGAAAGACAGCCAUCGAUCCACGGGGGCCAACACAGAGGGCAAAGCCACCAACGAACAGAGGACCAGCAGCAAGUUAGCCCAACACCAAGCGAGAUGUCCCACUCCGAGAUAGGGGAUCAAGUUCUCCGUGCAGACUGGGAGCUGCCUGGCUGGCCCCUUUGGAGCCACACACAGGCAUGAGGAUGAAUGGAGCUCAGUCUCGUCUUGAGAAAACAUUGGUGAGGCUCAACUGCCAACGAACCCCCUUUCACGGCCACCCUCCACCCCCAGCUGAAAGGACAGAGAAACUUUCUUUCCAAGGUGGCAGCACAAGCAACUCUUCCAAAGUGAGUUCCAACAAAGACGCUUAAGUCUGGAAACCAUACGUUCCUUGACGGGACAGAGCCCCCUUUCAGCAGCGGGCCUCCAACCCAGCAGAAUGAAACUGCACCAGGGUGUGGGGAGCGGGCUGUCCUCCAUGAAGGGCACGUUACCAUCGGCGUACCGUGGAGGACGUGCGCAGUAUCUCCACCACAAUGCAGGUUGGUCUGAUGGUUACUGAAAAAGAUCUCCCAGAUUCACAGCGGUCAUUUUGCUGGGGGAAGGGUGCAGCAUCUCAAGUUCCUCCACGUUUGUUUGAAACACCCAUGCAUUUCAGACAAUGAAGCCAAAUACAAUGUCGUGGGGUAAGUACUGAGCUGCGGCAAUGACCUUGAAGAAGGAAAGAACUACAGCAAAGGUCAUUUUAAGAAUUUAAAAGAAGCAUUUGGUGCAAAAUGUUUGCUGCUUCAGGUCUUUUCUUGGAAUGGGUGGACAAUCCACAAGCAAUGAGGGGCUCCGAUGGGUACCAAAUGGGUUUCAGUGGACUUACAGGCAUCUUUUGCUUAACUGUAUAAAUCAACAGACCAAAUGUCUUUACUGACAGUCUCUGUGACCUGCAUUGAACUACAAACAAAAAAUAUUUAUCAUCCCCCUAACUGGUUUGGCUCAGUGGAUAGAGCAGGGGUCCUCAAACU